AUGUCUUUUGUAUCACUGUGGUACACGUUCGGUGGAGGAACCAGACUGGAUGUUGGAAGUGAUGUCCGUCCCACCCUGACGGUGCUGCCCCCCUCCAGCGAGGAGCUGCAGAAGGGGAAGGCCACGCUCAUGUGUCUGGCCAACGACGGCUUCCCCUCAGACUGGAGUCUGGCCUGGAAGGUGGACGGCAGCAGCAGCAGCAGCUUGGAGCAGAGCAGGAGCCCCGGGGUGCUGCAGAAGGACGGCCGCUACAGCUGGAGCAGCACCCUGAGGCUCCCUGCAGACCAGUGGAGGAAGGUGGUCUCUGUGACCUGUGAGGCCACCCAGGGCUCCCAGACUCCAGUCUCAGAGACACUGAGGAGAGACCAGUGUUCCCAGUCCUGA
Thunnus maccoyii (southern bluefin tuna) is the source of this 384-nucleotide non-coding RNA. Lineage: Eukaryota; Metazoa; Chordata; Actinopteri; Scombriformes; Scombridae. The record is from the annotation of a RefSeq genome assembly.